Cyprinus carpio (common carp) is the source of this 4283-nucleotide long non-coding RNA. The record is from Ensembl. NCBI's taxonomy places the organism in Eukaryota, Metazoa, Chordata, Actinopteri, Cypriniformes, Cyprinidae.
CGCUCUGCUACAACUGUGGUUACGACAAACUCACCUACAACUGCAACUCCACUUCCAACUACCGUUUCUUCAGCAGAAACAACACAAACAACUCAACCUACAACUGUGGUUACAACAAACUCACCUACAACUGCAACUCCACUUCCAUCUACCACCUCUUCUACAGAAACAACAGAAACAACUCAACCUACAACUGUGGUUACAACAAACUCACCUACAACUGCAACUCCACUUCCAUCUACCACCUCUUCUACAGAAACAACAGAAACAACUCAACCUACAACUGUGGUUACAACAAACUCACCUACAACUGCAACUCCACUUCCAUCUACCACCUCUUCUACAGAAACAACAGAAACAACUCAACCUACAACUGUGGUUACAACAAACUCACCUACAACUGCAACUCCACUUCCAUCUACCACCUCUUCUACAGAAACAACAGAAACAACUCAACCUACAACUGUGGUUACAACAAACUCACCUACAACUGCAACUCCACUUCCAUCUACCACCUCUUCUACAGAAACAACAGAAACAACUCAACCUACAACUGUGGUUACAACAAACUCACCUACAACUGCAACUCCACUUCCAACUACCACCUCUUCUACAGAAACAACACAAACAACUCAACCUACAACUGUGGUUACAACAAACUCAACAACAUCCCUACAUACAACAAAUACAACCCCAAACAUAACCCAGUCAGUUUUUUUUAGUUUUUCCAGCAAUGAAACCUUUGUGGCUGAUCUGGAAAAUCCAACUUCAGUGGAAUAUAAAAACAGAGAAACAAAAGUCUUAGCUAAGUUGGAGCCAUUAUUUAAAAACCAGUUCCCCUCCUUCAUUAGCCUGCUAGUUAUUAAGUUCCGUCGUGGUUCAAUCAUCAAUGACCUGAAUUUGACAUUUGGAGCCAAAUUACCCAAUACAGAGGACAUAAAAAGCACUAUUUGGCAAGCCAAUGCCACUCUUAAUAUCACCAGUGUAACAGAAACGGAGCCCAUCACCACAACCAGCACCACAACACCUAUAACCACACCUACCACAACCACACCUAUUACAACCGGCACCACAACCACACCUGACACAACAACCGCCACCACACCCGACACAACAACAACCGCCACCACAACCACACCUAAUACAACAACAACCGGCACCACAACCACACCCAACACAACAACCGCCACCACACCUGACACAAAAACAACCGCCACCACAACCACACCUAAUACAACAACAACAGCCGCCACAACCACACCUAAUUCAACAACAAUCGCCACCACAACAACAACCACACCUAAUACAACAACAAUCGCCACCACAACAGCAACCACACCUAACACAACAACAACUGCCACCACAACAACAACCACACCUAAUACAACAACAACCGCCACCACACCCGACACCACAACAACCGCCACCACAACCACAACCGCACCUGACACAACAACAACCGCCACCACAACCACAACCACACCCGACACAACAACAACCGCCACCACACCUAAUACAACAACAACCGGCACCACAACCACACCCGACAAAACAACAACCGCCACCACAACCACACCUAAUACAACAACAACUGCCACAACAACACCAACCACACCUAAUACAACAACAACCGCCACCACAACCACACCUAAUACAACAACAACCGCCACAACAACACCAACCACACCUAAUACAACAACAACCGCCACCACAACCACACCUAAUACAACAACAACAGUCGCCACAACCACACCUAAUACCACAACAACCGCCACCACAACCACCCCUACUACAACCACAACCGCCGCCACAACCACAACCACACCUAAUACAACAACAACAGUCGCCACAACCACACCUAAUACAACAACAAUCGCCACCACAACAGCAACCACACCUAACACAACAACAACUGCCACCACAACAACAACCACACCUAAUACAACAACAAUCGCCACCACAACAACAACCACACCUACCACAAACACAACCACACCUAUUACAACAACAACCGCCACCACAACCACAACCAUACCUAACACAACAACAACCGCCACCACAACACCAACCACACCUAAUACAACAACAACCGCCGCCACAACCACAACCACACCUAAUACAACAACAACAGCCACCACAACCACACCUAAUACAACAACAAUCGCCACCACAACAACAACCACACCUAACACAACAACAACCGCCACCACAACCACACCUAAUACAACAACAAUCGCCACCACAACAACAACCACAUCUACCACAAACACAACCACACCUAUUACAACAACAACCACAACCACACCUAACACAACAACAACCACCACCACAACCACACCUAAUACAACAACAACCGCCACCACAACAACCACACCUAAUACAACAACAACCACCACCACAACAACAACAACCGCCGCCACAACCACAACCACACCUAAUACAACAACAACAGCCGCCACAACCACACCUAAUUCAACAACAAUCGCCACCACAACAACAACCACACCUAACACAACAAUCGCCACCACACCUAAUACAAUAACAACAACAGACAACCUUAAUACAACAACAACCACACCUAAUACAACAACCACCACCACCACAACAACCACACCCAAUACAACAACAACAGCCAACCUUAAUACAACAACCACCACCACCACAACCACACCUAAUACAACAACAACCGCCACCACAACAACAGCCAAACCUAAUACAACUACCACCAGCCCUACUAUAACAACAAAAGCAACAACAACAACAACCACCACCACAACAACUCCAACUACAACAACCACAACAUCAACAACUCCAACUACAACCACCACCACAACAACAACUCCAACUACAACCACCACAACAACAACAACAACUCCAACUACAACCACCACCACAACAACAGCACCAGCACGUCCUCUGCCAACUGUAGCCAUACAGAUUGUUAUUAUAGAGGUUUUUACUCCAGCACUGGCACACCCAGAAACUACAGAAUUUAAAGAACUAGCCACAAGAGUGGAGACUAUGUUUGAUGAAGUCUAUAAAAAAAAGUUUGGGCCUCGUUUCAUCAGGACCAUCGUGAUUGCAUUCAUAGCUGUUGCCAGAACCCGGGCAGAAUCGAAUGUACAGGCGGAGGUUGAGUUGGUGUUUAGUGAAGCGUCCACUGAACCGAUCCCCAGCAACACUGAAAUUGUGCAGACUCUAAAAGAAGCAGCUGUUAAUUCAACUGCAGGCUUCAACCUCACCCUUGAUGCCGCCACUAUUACUGUCAUUAAAUCAGUGAAGAUAAUUCCACUGACAAUCCUCACCAAUGGAACCUUUGUGGCUGUUCUUUCAAAUAAAAAUUCUACUGAAUUUCAGAACAGAGCUUCGAUGAUAAAAGCAGGGCUUGAACCUUUCUUCUUUGCUGAGUAUCCAACAUCAUUCAGCACCAUAUCCGUAACAAACUUCAGUGUUGCCAGUGUAAAAUUAAGGAGUGUGCCAACAAUCCGAAACUCCAUGGAUCUCACAUUCGGAGCGGACGCCGUUCUACCCAAUAGCACCCAGAUAGUGAACACUGUAGUCCGAGCAGCCAGAAACAACACGUUACCCUUCCAGAUCUUCACUUCUUCAAUCAUAAUAAAUGGAACCGAAUAUUCGUCAGGUGAAGUCAGCAGCAGGGUCAGUGUGUUGACCGCUUCAGUCCUGGUUGCUGUGUCGCUUCUGGUUCCAUGGUUUAACUGGGUGUAACCACUCAGGCCAAUAUAACUGAUUCAUACGGGUCUAAAUCUUCCUUGCCUUUCACGCCUGCUCAAAUGAAGGACUCGUACAUGUAAACAAAACUCUGACUGCAUCAGUUUUUAGAACUGAAUGUGUCUGUUUUUAGCUCUUGUUCUGUUUUCAGAACAGGUUAACACUAGUCAUACAAGCACUUUUAGUAAUUUAUUUAUUCUUAAAAAAAAGACUCAGUUAAAUCAUAUUGUCAUUGGUUUCUUUUCUGAAUAAUGUAAUCUACAAAUCAAGGGGCAGUUCUUUAAAGUCAUUAAUUUAUUGUUUGUUUAUUCUGUAUGUGUUGUAGUCGGAUGAGUAAAAGUGGGUACAACAUAACAAUCUACAGACGUAUAGUAUAAGCUACAACAACCACAUUUUCAACUGAAUUCUUUUGUAAUAUUGUAAUAUAUAUGAAUAUAUAUGUAAUAUAUAACCAUCUCUGUUAUAUCUAAGAUGAACUCUGGUAAAACUAUUGAAAUGCAUUACAUUUGUUAAUUUAUUUGUUGAUCAAUAAAAAAUAGGAGUGUAACGGUUCA